GUCCAGGUGGCGAAGUGGUGAACGCGGCGGUCUGCAAAACCGCUAUCCGCGGGUUCGAUUCCCGCCCUGGACU
RNAcentral lists this transfer RNA (73 nucleotides) under Rubrivirga sp. SAORIC476. RNAcentral describes it as "tRNA-Cys". It matches the Rfam family "tRNA". Rfam says of the family: Transfer RNA (tRNA) molecules are approximately 80 nucleotides in length. Their secondary structure includes four short double-helical elements and three loops (D, anti-codon, and T loops). Further hydrogen bonds mediate the characteristic L-shaped molecular structure. tRNAs have two regions of fundamental functional importance: the anti-codon, which is responsible for specific mRNA codon recognition, and the 3' end, to which the tRNAs corresponding amino acid is attached (by aminoacyl-tRNA synthetases). tRNAs cope with the degeneracy of the genetic code in two manners: having more than one tRNA (with a specific anti-codon) for a particular amino acid; and 'wobble' base-pairing, i.e. permitting non-standard base-pairing at the 3rd anti-codon position. The record is from RNAcentral. Lineage: Bacteria; Pseudomonadati; Rhodothermota; Rhodothermia; Rhodothermales; Rubricoccaceae. RNAcentral also lists the same sequence under 1 other name.